CCUACGGGGUGCAGCAGUGGGGAAUAUUGCACAAUGGGGGAAACCCUGAUGCAGCGACGCCGCGUGAGCGAUGAAGUAUUUCGUUAUGUAAAGCUCUAUCAGCAGGGAAGAAAAUGACGGUACCUGAGUAAGAAGCCCCGGCUAACUACGUGCCAGCCGCCGCGGUAAUACGUAGGGGGCACGCGUUAUCCGGAUUUACUGGGUGUAAAGGGAGCGUAGACGGCGGUGCAAGUCUGGUGUGAAAGGCGGGGGCUCAACCCCGGGACUGCGCUUGAAACUGUACGGCUGGAGUGCAGGAGAGGUAAGUGGAAUUCCUAGUGUAGCGGUGAAAUGCGUAGAUAUUAGGAGGAACACCAGUGGCGAAGGCGGCCUACUGGACUGUAACUGACGUUGAGGCUCGAAAGCGUGGGGAGCAAACAGGAUUAGAUACCCUUGUAGUC
This 440-nucleotide ribosomal RNA is filed under the name uncultured bacterium. RNAcentral describes it as "partial 16S ribosomal RNA". It matches the Rfam family "Bacterial small subunit ribosomal RNA", at positions 338 to 795 of the family's 1533-position model. The record is from RNAcentral.